AGUACCUAUGUAGGACUGAUGACGAUUCCCAAGUUAGAAAUUAAAACGUUUCGUAUGAAUUUGUUAAAAAAAAAAUACAUAUUAAGUAAUAACGAUGACCAGUAGUUAGGUAUCACUUAUCGUUGGUCCAUUUCAAAAUAUAGAGUACUAGAAUAGUUAUGUUUUGUUUAAUGUUUUUUUAUUUCCCGAACACCACACGCGAAGACCAGCUUUUCCUCCAUAACAAACUAUUUUUAAACGUAUCCAAUUAGUACACUCCAAUUCGUUAAUGUGCGUAACUACCUGUUGAGUAUAUUAAAAUCUACCUACGCUAUGACGCCAUUAUGUGAACACCACCACCAGUCGACGGAGCGUAUAUCGAAAUAGGUGUUUUACUCGUCGCUACUACACCGAUGGUUGUUUUUCGGAAAGAGUGCCAAACACUGUGAAAGAUUAAUAUUAUUCUUAUUGUUAUAAAUAUCAAUUCUCAUUGACCUCGUCCCGUGAUUCGAAACUUAAAAUCGUACAUAUUCUAUGAUAAGCAUUGGUUGUAAAAUAUACAUUUUUAGUGAAAGCUUGCAGUGAUGAAAAGAAAAAUUCAUAAUAGAUAUUAUUUACAUCGAAGGAUUUUGGAGACAAGUAUAGAAAUUAAAAGAUAAAAUACCUAUGAAAAAUAUAACAUCUAACAAAAUAAUUAUUAUAAAGAGCCGAUAACGUUUUAUAUAAGAUUCAAGUACUGUGGAUCAUGACUCACAAGUGUUGUAUAUAAAGAUCGCUUUAAGAUGUGUUAGACAAAAUGUGUAUACAGACGAAACAUUUUAUCUCAAAUGGACUCAAUUUAUCCAAACGUUGAAAAAUAUCGACAAUUAUGCUUUGCUGAUGGGUAGUAGGUACCCAGUAAAAGGCAGGGGUAUGAAAAAUAGAUGUUAGCCGAUUUUCAUACCUAAUGAAUAUGCAUAAAAAUUUCAUAAAAAUCAGUCAAGCCGUUUGGAGGAGUAUCGAGACUAACAUUGUGACACGAGAAUUUUAUAUAUUAGAUACAAUAUAUCAACUUAUAUAUAAGUGAUGUUUAUUUGGCGAUAUUUACGAAAACAAUUUUUAGAAAACAAUAUGUGUACUUACACAACAAUAUAAUAUUAUAUAAUAUAGUU
Molecule: long non-coding RNA, 1130 nt
Filed under: Acyrthosiphon pisum (pea aphid)
Lineage: Eukaryota; Metazoa; Arthropoda; Insecta; Hemiptera; Aphididae
Description: uncharacterized LOC115034435, transcript variant X2
Source: RNAcentral